RNAcentral lists this ribosomal RNA (395 nucleotides) under uncultured Pelotomaculum sp. RNAcentral's name for it is "bacterial SSU rRNA". It matches the Rfam family "Bacterial small subunit ribosomal RNA", at positions 987 to 1382 of the family's 1533-position model. The record is from RNAcentral. Lineage: Bacteria; Bacillati; Bacillota; Clostridia; Eubacteriales; Desulfotomaculaceae.
UCCCCUGACCGCGUAUGAAAGUACGUUUCACCUCGGGUGACAGGGAGACAGGUGGUGCAUGGUUGUCGUCAGCUCGUGUCGUGAGAUGUUGGGUUAAGUCCCGCAACGAGCGCAACCCCUACGUUUAGUUGCUAACGCGUGAAGGCGAGCACUCUAGACGAACUGCCGUUGACAAACGGAGGAAGGUGGGGAUGACGUCAAAUCAUCAUGCCCCUUAUGUUCUGGGCUACACACGUGCUACAAUGGCCGGUACAGACGGACGCAAAGCCGCGAGGUGGAGCAAAUCCUAAAAAGCCGGUCUCAGUUCGGAUUGCAGGCUGCAAUUCGCCUGCAUGAAGUCGGAAUCGCUAGUAAUCGCAGGUCAGCAUACUGCGGUGAAUACGUUCCCGGGCCUU